RNAcentral lists this ribosomal RNA (283 nucleotides) under unidentified marine bacterioplankton. Its description in RNAcentral is "partial 16S ribosomal RNA". It matches the Rfam family "Bacterial small subunit ribosomal RNA", at positions 62 to 339 of the family's 1533-position model. The record is from RNAcentral.
UCGAGGGGUAACAGGGAGCUUGCUCCGCUGACGACCGGCGCACGGGUGCGUAACGCGUAUAGAACCUACCUUUUACUGAGGGAUAGCCUUUAGAAAUGAAGAUUAAUAUCUCAUAGUAUUGAGAAGUGGCAUCACUUUUUAAUUUAAAGAUUUAUUGGUAAAAGAAUGGCUAUGCGUCCUAUUAGCUAGAUGGUAAGGUAACGGCUUACCAUGGCGACGAUAGGUAGGGGUCCGUGAGAGGGAGGAUCCCCCACCACUGGUACUGAGACACGGACCAGACUCC